Molecule: unclassified non-coding RNA, 314 nt
Filed under: Hevea brasiliensis (rubber tree)
Lineage: Eukaryota; Viridiplantae; Streptophyta; Magnoliopsida; Malpighiales; Euphorbiaceae
Source: RNAcentral
GCCCAAUGUUUUCACUCAAAAGCAGACUACAAAUUCACAAUUGCUUGUCCAAUUACCAAAUUCAAUCACCUACUAUUGUGCUCCAUGCACCCACGGACCAUGACGCCCCAUGGCUUUAAUCAUGAGGCCCACUAGUAAUCAAUAAGCAGCGGAUCAAAGUGAAGUCAUCNNNNNAUGCAUCAUUGUUUCCGUUCGAAAUCAAGGGUGAUGAAGAAAACAAAAACAGCUUAAAAUAGAAAAAGAAAACCAAAACCAUACAAUGAAAGAGACUAAAGAAAUAAUGUUUCUCUAAAAUACAUUAUCAUUACAGGUGA